AGGACGAACGCUGGCGGCGCGCUUAACACAUGCAAGUCGAACGAGGCGGAGGGGGCAACCCCUCCAGUCGAGUGGCGGACGGGUGAGUAACACGUGGGUAACCUGCCCGGAAGUGGGGAAUACCUCGGGGAAACUCGAGCUAAUACCGCAUGACAUCUUCGGGACGAAAGUCCUGAUGAUCAAAGCGGGGUCGCAAGAUCUCGCGCUACCGGAUGGGCCCGCGCCCGAUUAGCUAGUUGGCGAGGUAAUGGCUCACCAAGGCUUCGAUC
This 269-nucleotide ribosomal RNA is filed under the name uncultured bacterium. RNAcentral describes it as "partial small subunit ribosomal RNA". It matches the Rfam family "Bacterial small subunit ribosomal RNA", at positions 26 to 281 of the family's 1533-position model. The record is from RNAcentral.